AGCAGCCGCGGUAAUUCCAGCUCCAAUAGCGUAUAUUAAAGUUGUUGCAGUUAAAAAGCUCGUAGUUGAACUUUGGAGUUUACCCAUUGGUCAGGCUUAAUUGUCUGUACUGGUGAGAUAAAUCUCUACCUUCUGAGGAACUUUCAUGCCAUUUAUUUGGUGUGAUUGGAAAUCAGGACUAUUACAAAAAAUUAGAGUGUUUAAAGCAGGCUAACGUCUGAAUAUAUUAGCAUGGAAUAAUGAAAUAGGACGGCUUGGUUCUAUUUCGUUAGUUUCUAGGAUCACCGUAAUGAUUAAUAGGGAUAGUUGGAGGCAUUAGUAUUCAAUUGUCAGAGGUGAAAUUCUUGGAUUUAUUGAAGACUAACUACUGCGAAAGCAUUUGCCAAGGAUGUUUU
This 395-nucleotide ribosomal RNA is filed under the name uncultured Glomeromycotina. RNAcentral's name for it is "SSU rRNA". It matches the Rfam family "Eukaryotic small subunit ribosomal RNA", at positions 569 to 970 of the family's 1831-position model. Lineage: Eukaryota; Fungi; Glomeromycota. The record is from RNAcentral.